GGACAUAAAAUCAUCUUCCACAGAACAAAUAUGUUGUUCAAUUGUAUCAGAAACGACAAAAAUAAGAUUAACCGAGCCUGUCUCUCCGGAGUAUACCAGAUUCCUUUCUUUGAUAAUGACACCAAUACUAAUGAGAAGUAUAUUGGUUAUACAACACGCUCUCUUAAAAGGAGGAUCCAAGAACACAAAAAAGACCCUGGAGAGUAACGCUGCUACUACGGCUCUAGCACAGCGGGUGCUUGUAUCUGACUUACAAGUUGAUUGGUCCAAUAGUAAACUCUUGCGGCAGGAGCACGAUCUUAAGAGAGGAAGAAUUGCUG
RNAcentral lists this long non-coding RNA (320 nucleotides) under Androctonus crassicauda. Lineage: Eukaryota; Metazoa; Arthropoda; Arachnida; Scorpiones; Buthidae. The record is from RNAcentral.